AUGGGGGAAUUACCCGACCAAGGGAGCAAGGUGUGGGUUCCAGGCAGAAGCCUCAGCAUUGCGGAGGCUGACCGGGAAGCGGCAUCCACUGAGGAUGAGUCACUGCAGAAAGCCGACAGUGAGGGACAGCCACUGCGGACAAGGCGGGCACACUGGCAGGAAGGGCCGUUCUCGCCACAUCAAGGUUUGGACCAUAGGAAACGUAGGGGGAGACAAGGGAGGCUGCCCAGUGUGCAGGGAGACCCACACCCCUCGCUAACAAUCAGAGGAGUCGUUUUUACAGAGGUCUGGACACUGAGCUUCCUGAGAACAAAGAUUUCAGGGAGGGAAAACGUACGUCAGUAGCAGCAGCUCCUCCGAUGUGAAGAGGCACAAUAUUAACAAGGGGCUUACGUCGAAGAGAGAUGAGACUGUGACUUCAUUUAAGCCACCGGGUAAAUGCAUUUCCCCCCUAAUUUCAGCCUUGGGUGCACUGCGUCCACUGGCACCGACCGCAUGGGUCGCAAGUCACUUUCAAGCAUAAAGCUGUUUAUCCUUAACUCGGCUGUGGGCUGCAGGGGGCUGGGCUGCACCCUUUGUUUGGGACGGUGGUUUCCAGCGCGGGGGCUGCAUCCCACCAUCAGACUGGGGGCUGCUUGGGGUGGAGACUAGACCCACCCACUCACUCCUCAGCCCUUCACAGGCCACCUGCCCUGUGCCUGCACGGACAGGGGUGCGGAUUCAGAGCUGAAUCUGACACGGCCCUGCCUUUGAGCUGAGGGGCUCUAUUGCAGUCACAGCCACAGUGAUGAGCCUAGUGGGAUGUAGCGUGGGGUCUUGAGGGCAAGGCGGGGGCUCUGAGCCAGGAAGUGGGUGCUCUAUUUUCUCCCCCCCCUCCUGCUGCUUGCUCAUUUGCUUGUUCCUUCCUUUGUUCAAAGGAAACCCGGGGAGGGAAGCACACUGUUGGGGAAUUCCAUGUCCAGGGAGGAUGGACACCUGGCCGGCAGAGCGGAACGAGACCUACAGGUCCUCCUCCUCCAGGAAGCCUGCCUUGACGGCUCAGCGCCAGAAGCACCCCCUUCUCAGUCUGACUACACUUCCGGGGCCCGGCCGCACAUCUUUCCCACUAAGCCCUGAGGUAUCUGACGACAGAAACUGUUUUCUUCCUUUCUCGGGACUGGGCCCCAGUGGGAACUUGACCAUGGCCUUCUGAUUUGGGAGGCAGGUCAGGGAAGUGGUGAGACCUGCCCUGGAUGCUGGGCCCCGUCAGAUGAGUUGGGGAGAGGUGGCCGGAGCAGGCGAGUGACAUCCAAGAGAUGAGGGCUCUGUCUGUCCCCGAGGGAGGGAGUUGACGGCGGGGUGAGCA
Molecule: long non-coding RNA, 1345 nt
Filed under: Sus scrofa (pig)
Lineage: Eukaryota; Metazoa; Chordata; Mammalia; Artiodactyla; Suidae
Description: lncRNA (ENSSSCG00035058732.1)
Source: RNAcentral